This 298-nucleotide unclassified non-coding RNA is filed under the name plant metagenome. Its description in RNAcentral is "partial contains 5.8S ribosomal RNA, internal transcribed spacer 2, and large subunit ribosomal RNA". The stretch from base 1 to 105 matches the Rfam family "5.8S ribosomal RNA", at positions 50 to 154 of the family's 154-position model. The record is from RNAcentral.
GAAAUGCGAUAAGUAAUGUGAAUUGCAGAAUUCAGUGAAUCAUCGAAUCUUUGAACGCACAUUGCGCCCCCUGGUAUUCCGGGGGGCAUGCCUGUUCGAGCGUCAUUUCACCACUCAAGCCUCGCUUGGUAUUGGUCAACGCGGUCCGCCGCGUGCCUCAAAUCGACCGGCUGGGUCUUCUGUCCCCUAAGCGUUGUGGAAACUAUUCGCUAAAGGGUGUUCGGGAGGCUACGCCGUAAAACAACCCCAUUUCUAAGGUUGACCUCGGAUCAGGUAGGGAUACCCGCUGAACUUAAGC